Ciona intestinalis (vase tunicate) is the source of this 633-nucleotide non-coding RNA. NCBI's taxonomy places the organism in Eukaryota, Metazoa, Chordata, Ascidiacea, Phlebobranchia, Cionidae. The record is from RefSeq and is a predicted model, not a curated record.
UAUGUUUCUUACUGAUACUACCUAACCGCUUUGUACACAAAACCUACAUUCCAAAAUAGCCCCUUUGUAAACUAAAGGCUACCUGUAUUGAAUGGCGCACAGGUAAACGCGUAUAACUGAGCUUACAGCAACGCAAAACAAGUUUUAUAACGGUUUACUUGACCAUAUUUUCUGCUUCUUAAUACAUAAUAUUACAAAUCUUGAUAUAUACCACUUGUUAUUUUCAUACAUCACCGCUUACUAACAACUUCUAUGAACUUUAUUUGCUUUUACACAGCCUGCUCUCACUGUAGUGUGCAAGAGAUUUCAAAUAAGAGUGUAGCGUGACCGUUCACGCUCUGAAUAGGGGUUUCCUUUUGUUCGAUGCCGGGUACGUAUUGGUCGGUCGAUGGUAAUCAUCUUAGUUACCAGCACUGUAGCGAAACGAACCUCACGGAAAACAGGGUGGCGCUCGUGCAACACAAGUCUUACGUCACCGCUCCACUCAUCUGCAACGAUUCUUGCGCCUUGAGGAAAAUCCCCGGCUUCAAUAAUGAAGAAUCGAACAUGUGUGUGGGACGGGAUGACGUAACGAGAAUGAAAUGCUCUUGUUUUGUGACUAAGGCCUCAAGCUUACUGUCAAGUUAUAACAUG